Molecule: ribosomal RNA, 496 nt
Filed under: uncultured bacterium
Lineage: Bacteria
Description: partial 16S ribosomal RNA
Rfam family: Bacterial small subunit ribosomal RNA
Source: RNAcentral
GAUGAACGCUGGCGGCGUGCCUAAUACAUGCAAGUCGAGCGAACAGGCGAGGAGCUUGCUCCUCUGACGUUAGCGGCGGACGGGUGAGUAACACGUGGAUAACCUACCUAUAAGACUGGGAUAACUUCGGGAAACCGGAGCUAAUACCGGAUAAUAUAUUGAACCGCAUGGUUCAAUAGUGAAAGACGGUUUUGCUGUCACUUAUAGAUGGAUCCGCGCCGCAUUAGCUAGUUGGUAAGGUAACGGCUUACCAAGGCAACGAUGCGUAGCCGACCUGAGAGGGUGAUCGGCCACACUGGAACUGAGACACGGUCCAGACUCCUACGGGAGGCAGCAGUAGGGAAUCUUCCGCAAUGGGCGAAAGCCUGACGGAGCAACGCCGCGUGAGUGAUGAAGGUCUUCGGAUCGUAAAACUCUGUUAUAGGGAAGAACAAAUGUGUAAGUAACUAUGCACGUCUUGACGGUACCUAAUCAGAAAGCCACGGCUAACUACGUG